AUCACAGAAGUGCAGACUCUCGGCACUGGUGGAGGUACCCUUUGCAUCCCGGGAGGCUUGAAAUGGGGUUGGGAUUCAGACAUUUUUACACCCCACUUCUGAUCCUUCCAAGGACCACCGACUCACGUUGGGGGCGAUGGCGCCGGUCAGUGCACACUCUGCGAGACAAACCGGUAGUUGACACAUGGGUGGGGGGCCUUAGAGGACCUUAUGAUUUCACUGUCAUGGCAAGUAGGAUGCCUAUAGUGGGGGAGCUGAGGGUUUGGGAGAGGGCAACUGUGGCCCCUAUUAAAGACGGUAUUUGAGGAGGAGUGCCUUCAGGUGAGUUAGGAGCUGUACCAGGAGUACUAAAGCAAGGCCACCUGGUUCUUUUUCUCCGGCUAGUCCAAGGGCCAGGAAAGCCUGAGUAGGGAGAGCUGGGCUUCCCACCCCGGCUCCUCCACUUCCCAGGCGUGGGAGGAAGGGGUUGGUCUAUGAGCUGGAAUACUGGAGAAGCCAACAGUGCAGUGUGCAGGAAGGCUCAGAUUCUUGAACACCCUUUAAGGGUCAUGCUGAAAGUGUGAUGCAGGGCACCACCUGGCAUCAUGAGGAUGGGCAUCUGGCCAGCAGGCAGCAGUGCCCAGGUUCUGCUCCAGGUGCCCUCACCCCCCGCCCCACCCAGGUCAGCCAAAGCCUCUCCAAGGUGCCAGAGAGGUGGCAGCAGCUCAGGUGGUGCAAGCGGGCCAGCGGCAGCCUCCACCGUUGAUGGGUGUUGGCCAGGGAGAGGCAGGUAUGUGAGAGAUCCUGAAGUGGACACCAUAAGUAUAUUCAAGGUCAUAGCCUCCAGUGUGGCCUCGACACAUGCGCCAUGGAGAAGUGGCAGGGACACAAAACACAUCUGCAGGCCUUUCCCCUUCCUAGUUUUGGUGCUGCCUUGAGGAGCAGGGCACCCAUGGGGGCCACGUACCUGCUGUGCUCCUGCCUGCAGCCUUACUCCCCAGGUUUGAUUUGAAGCUACCCACGGGAGGGUCUCUUCAUAUCUGCUCCUUCCCACUCCCCACCAACCAGUCCACCUUGGAGCGCCCCAGUCCUUGUGAAAUCACAGCCGCUGUCACAGAGACCAGCUCCAGACUGCCUUGUGUCAUUGAACCGCUAAGUGCUGGGUAAAGAUAAAGCAGGAAGCAGCAGGGAUCGGAGCACCUGGGCCCUGGGCAAGCAAACGUGGUCGAGUGGGUUGUAAUCAAUGCCAGGUGAUUUAGCCUGCUGGGUACCAGGAAAAGCCUGGAGCCAAACGACUGACUUAAUCAGUUGCCCUGGCAACAACAUUGCCCUUGGCUCUACCCAGACAAGAUUGAUUUGAGCCUGUUGCCCUGGUAACUCGUGUUGCUCCCCCGGGACAGGAAGUAACAGAACUUCAGCUCUGUUGGGUGAGAACACCUCCCCCAACCUGAGGGGGUCCACCUGUGCAUCCCGCUGCCAGGCGCAGGGCAGCAGUGGGAUGGGCUCUCCACAUUCUAAGUGCCUAUGGAAGAUUCUUGUUACCAAAAGGGAGCCCCCAGGGAGGAGGCUGGGGCACUAGGGCCAGGCUCCUCCCGUGUGCCCCUCUCUCCUCCGUCCAGGUUCUCACUCCUCCGGAGGGGGAUCCAGGGACAGCGCCACCCCCUUCCUCCAUUGGAGAGCUUGACAAAGGUCCUGGGCACUGGCUCCUGUUUCCUCACCUGCAGAGGCAGCCGCCGGUGACCUGCUGAAGGCCAGGGUCAAGCCAGAGGACUGUCGCCUGCAGAGCACUGCCACAGCAUUGACCAGGGGGACAUAAGCACUCGGUCAGAAGCCUGGUGGCAGUCUGGAGUCCCCAAUUUCCUCUUGGCCUUAGAUCCCCUCCCUGGGUCUCUACACGCAAGACUCACCUCCAAAGGAGAGCCCUGUGCUGCCACCUCCGCCAGUGGUGGCCGACGGGAGCGUGGGGACCUGGCUGGCCAUCCCGAAGAUGCUGUGAUACGGGGAGAAAAGUCGGCAUGCACAUCAUCUAGCACCAAGGAGGGUCAGAGAAGCAAGACAAGGUCUCAAAGGAAACACAGGAUGGCUGGCUCAGAUGGUAAGCAUGAGUGGAAAGGGCCCGACCCACAGCCCUCAGCUCUGGCCUUUCCACGCUGCCUUGAACAAGCGGCCUUGCCCAUGGCCUUGGCCUGCUAACUCCUACUCACCCUGCAGGCUUAACAGAACCAUGUCUUCCAUGGGCCUUCCUGACCCCAGUGUUUGAUCCUGGUUUUCCUCUCCUAGCACCUUGUUCUUUUCCUUCCUAGCACUUGACAUAUUUACAGUGAUGUAUUUUUGUUUAUUUCUGUAUCAACUGGGUCCCCGCUAGACCAAUUCCACUGCCAAGAAUUUCCUUACAGAUAUAACUUUGCAAUGUACCGAAGCAGCGUUAUUAACUGCAGCGCUGUUUAACAGAAAAAGACUGGAACAUCCUAAAUAUUCAACAACAGGGAACUGAGUAGAAGCCGAGUGCCCAGGGCCUGCCUGCGAGGUUCCAGGGAUGGGCUGCUUCUUGAGAGCCAGCACUCAGGUGACAGUGCUCUCCUCAGCCCCUCUCCCUCCCCAACCCCUGGGCUUUCCUGAGGGACAGUGCUAGGCUGUAGCCACUGCGAGCCCUGGUCUUCAGUCCUCUCCCACCCACAGGCUGUGAGGAAGGCUGGGAAGCCACCAGGGCAGUGGUGGAUCUUCGGCUUCUCAGACCCCAGGCCUUUGCUUUGCCCGACGGACUCGAGAACAACACGACGCAGAGUUGGCAGGCUUCUGCUCUAAGAGGGAUGCCUGAGGACUUCUGGAGACCACCGAGGACGCUGACCCAGCCCUUGCCCUGGGGGCCCUCUCGGGGAAAGGUCACAUCCCUUCUCAUGUUUUCUAGGACUCGGGUCUCCAUUACUUCCCAGUCAGCGACCUCCUAGGGCACAGCCUGCACAAGUCCUGGUGCAGUUUUAGCCAUUUCCUUACAUGAAGAAAGAGAACAGAGCCCCUUCUUCCUGACAAGACCCUCAUCAGACUCCUCUCCUCCUUUCCUGGAGCUUCUCCUCUUUGUGCGGUACUUUGGGUGGGUGCGGAUGUGAAUGCAGCGUGACGUAUGGAUGUGGACAGUGGGCCACAGUUGCAAGCAAGGAAGCCAGAGGGGCGGAGCUUACCUGGGGGUGCUGGCUGGGCCUGGAACGGGGCUUGGCCGGCUGGAGGCAUGCUUCCAAAUGCAGAAGAGCCAGGGCUACUGCCAAAGGCAUCGAAGUUGGCAAAGCCCCCAUGGGAAGGCGUCUGGCCUAUAGGUGGAGAGAAUAUAAAGGUUAUGUUUAUAUAUGAUGUAUAUGUAAUCCCUAUCACGCGGACUAGUUCUGAAGGCCAAGGGCCGCUCAAUGGGACAUCUGCCUUCCUGCAGGGUCCUCAGAGGGAGUUGGCAGGAGCCUGAGGCAGAGAGCCAGACACAUGCAGGGGGAAAGGGCAUCUCAGAGGCCUCCAAGUUCACUCCCCAUUUUUUAUCCUUACUCCUUGAGGCAUUAACAUUUUUGUCAGGGCCUAGUUUGGGAGGGAUCAUGGAAAAAGAUUUUGCUGGGGGGAAGGGCUUUAAAAAGGAAAAAGGGAAACUAGAUAAUCACUUUGUUCCACCCUCUACUGGCUACUGCUGACCUUUGGGAAGAGGGCAGGGGAAGUGGAACCUGUGACAAUCCCCUUGCCCCAUUUUAGCAGAGAGAGAAACUAAGAAAAAGGCUCUUUCCAGUGCUCUAAGAGGGAGGGCUGGGAGCCCCCAACUGCCAUGCUUUCUGGUCAAACUCCCAAAACUAAUCCUGGCUGUAAUCCCGGCUGUACUCAUCUGACCCCCACCCUCCCAGCCGUGAUACUUCAGAAUUACCAUCACGUUCAUUCCUGUGCAGAGAGCUAGGGCCGAGUGAAUUCCUUGUGUGAUGGGGACGUAUGUUGUAGGAAGGUUCUCUUCCCAAGUCCCACUUACCCCCAAAGGCUGGGAAUGCAGCAAAAGCUGGUGCCACCUGGGGAGCAGCAAAGGGGUCUCCGCCGAUGUCGGCCAGCAGAUCCAAGGUGAGAGAUGAAAGACAUGGGAACAGCAGGGCUGAGAACCUGCUCACACCUCUUGGACCGUCAUCUGCUAAGUUCAGGGGACUGGAUUUAGGAAACCGAUAGCCCUGUCUCCCAAAUCCCAAAAU
Long non-coding RNA from Balaenoptera acutorostrata (minke whale), 4181 nucleotides. RefSeq lists it as uncharacterized. Lineage: Eukaryota; Metazoa; Chordata; Mammalia; Artiodactyla; Balaenopteridae. The transcript has 5 exons. The record is from RefSeq and is a predicted model, not a curated record.